CCGCAGCCCCGAUUGAAGCGGCAUCCUUUUGGCGAGGCGGUGAAGCGAAGCGGAGCCGACAAAGCCAAAAGAUACAGCUAAAAGCGGGAAGUGUC
This is a small RNA of Chryseobacterium sp. Leaf180, 95 nucleotides long. It matches the Rfam family "Flavo-1 RNA". The record is from Rfam. Lineage: Bacteria; Pseudomonadati; Bacteroidota; Flavobacteriia; Flavobacteriales; Weeksellaceae.